GAGGAUAAGAGCUCAGUGGUAGAGCAUGUGCUUAGCAUGCAUGAUGUCCUGGGUUCAAUCCCCAGUACCUCCA
This 73-nucleotide transfer RNA is filed under the name Camelus bactrianus (Bactrian camel). It matches the Rfam family "tRNA". Rfam says of the family: Transfer RNA (tRNA) molecules are approximately 80 nucleotides in length. Their secondary structure includes four short double-helical elements and three loops (D, anti-codon, and T loops). The record is from Rfam by way of RNAcentral. RNAcentral also lists the same sequence under 3 other names. Lineage: Eukaryota; Metazoa; Chordata; Mammalia; Artiodactyla; Camelidae.